CGACAAGCGGUGGAGCAUGUCGGUUUAAUUCGAAGCAACGCGAAGAACCUUACCAGGUCUUGACAGUCCCCUCGACAACCCGAGAGAUCGGGCGUUCCCCCUUCGGGGGGACAGGGUGACAGGUGGUGCAUGGUUGUCGUCAGCUCGUGUCGUGAGAUGUUGGGUUAAGUCCCGCAACGAGCGCAACCCUCGACCUUAGUUGCCAGCAUUCAGUUGGGCACUCUAAGGUGACUGCCGGCUAAAAGUCGGAGGAAGGUGGGGAUGACGUCAAAUCAUCAUGCCCCUUAUGACCUGGGCUACACACGUGCUACAAUGGGCGGUACAAAGGGUCGCGAACCCGCGAGGGGGAGCCAAAUCCCAAAAAGCCGCUCUCAGUUCGGAUUGGAGUCUGCAACUCGACCCCAUGAAGUCGGAAUCGCUAGUAAUCGCGGAUCAGCAUGCCGCGGUCGAAUACGUUCCCGGGCCUU
This 467-nucleotide ribosomal RNA is filed under the name uncultured Anoxybacillus sp. Its description in RNAcentral is "bacterial SSU rRNA". It matches the Rfam family "Bacterial small subunit ribosomal RNA", at positions 922 to 1382 of the family's 1533-position model. Lineage: Bacteria; Bacillati; Bacillota; Bacilli; Caryophanales; Anoxybacillaceae. The record is from RNAcentral.